UGUGUUAAAGCUUGCGGAAGAAUAUCUCAAAAACGUUUUACGACACUCCCGGUAAGGACCGGUAACUCUGUAUUUUUUUGCGGGAAAAUAUGAAUGGCUUCUCAUAUCUAAUCUUUCAGAAAAAUCGAUUUCUUACAAAAGAGUGUCCACCAUGCACUUACACUGCACUAUUAAAAGCAUAGUAGAAUAUAUUGAUAUACAAAUGGAUGAAAUAUAAAAAAAAAGAAGAUGUGCAUGGUAUGAUUGCCAAUGAGACAACUAUCCACAAAAGACCAAAAUGACACAAACAUUAACAACUAUAGGUCACCGUAAGGCCUUCAACAAUGAGCAAAGCCCAUACCGCGUAGUCAGCUAUAAAAGGCCCCGAUAAGACAAUGUAAAACAAUUCAAACGAGAAAACUAACGGCCUUAUUUAUGUUUAAAAAAUGAACGAAAAACAAAUUUGUAACACUUGAACAAACGACAACCACUGAAUUACAGGCUCCUGACUUGGGACAGGCAUAUACAUAAAUAAUGUGGAAAUUAUAUAUACAGCCCUUGGAUGGUGUAAACUUUCCAAAAAAAAUUGUAUAGUGUACUGGUGUAAUGGUGUAAUGGUGUAAUGGUGCUGUGGUGUAUGGUGUAAGGGGAAUGGUGUAAUGGUGUUUGAGGAAUGGUGUGAUUGUGUAACGUGCGAUCGGGAAUGGUGUGAAUGAUGGUGUACGACAUCUCAUUGGUUGAAACGAAUUUCUUUUUAUUUUAUUUUUUCGAAUUGUAAACAUAAACAAUAAUAAUAAUCUUAAUAUUUGAAAUUUAAUUGCAUUAUGGGUAAUUUCGGAUCGUGUAGAUAGAAUGGGGAAUGGUGCAUGGUGUAAUGUGAAAGGUGUAUGGUGCAAA
Molecule: long non-coding RNA, 876 nt
Filed under: Mytilus galloprovincialis (Mediterranean mussel)
Lineage: Eukaryota; Metazoa; Mollusca; Bivalvia; Mytilida; Mytilidae
Source: RNAcentral